GCGUGAGUGACGAAGGCCUUAGGGUUGUAAAGCUCUUUUGGCGGGGACGAUAAUGACGGUACCCGCAGAAUAAGCCCCGGCUAACUUCGUGCCAGCAGCCGCGGUAAUACGAAGGGGGCUAGCGUUGUUCGGAAUUACUGGGCGUAAAGCGCACGUAGGCGGAUUUGUUAGUCAGGGGUGAAAUCCCGGGGCUCAACCUCGGAACUGCCUUUGAUACUGCAAGUCUUGAGUCCGAGAGAGGUGAGUGGAAUUCCUAGUGUAGAGGUGAAAUUCGU
This 275-nucleotide ribosomal RNA is filed under the name uncultured bacterium. RNAcentral's name for it is "partial 16S ribosomal RNA". It matches the Rfam family "Bacterial small subunit ribosomal RNA", at positions 399 to 691 of the family's 1533-position model. The record is from RNAcentral.